This is a long non-coding RNA of Pistacia vera, 1052 nucleotides long. RefSeq lists it as uncharacterized. Lineage: Eukaryota; Viridiplantae; Streptophyta; Magnoliopsida; Sapindales; Anacardiaceae. The record is from RefSeq and is a predicted model, not a curated record. The transcript is spliced from 4 exons.
CGUUCCCAAAUCGCCCUCACUUAACAGCCUCAGCACUCGCUCUCUGGACUCAGAACCUAAAAAAGUUAUUCUAAAUCGCUAAAAAAAAUUCAUCAAAUUUAGAGGCGACACAGCCGAAGUUGCUUGCGUACAGAUUCGAUCCCUUUUAAUCUCCCAAAUUUCUUCACUUCAUUCCGAAUUCUAGGGUUUAUCUUCCCUUUCAUAGAUCUCACUUCAUUUUGUCUGUAAUUCGACUGCUCAGCGAGAGUGUCAGAUCUUUGAUUGCUGAGUUCGAUUAAGAAUUUUUGUUAUUGUUGGGUGAUAAUGGCUGCCUUGCAGAGACUAGGGCAACCCAGUGGCGGUAACUAUGGGGCUUCUUGUAAUGGAGCUGACGUGGCGGGGCCGGGUCAGUUUCCUGCUGGUUUGCGGGUUCUUGUUGUGGAUGAUGACCAUGCUUGUUUGAAAAUUGUUGAGCAGAUGCUUCGCCGGUGUCUCUAUCAGGUUACAACAUGCUCCCAGGCAACUUGUUGCCUUGAACACUUUAAGGCAGAGUAAAGGCUGUUUUGAUGUAGUACUAAGCGAUGUUCACGUGCCUGAUAUGGAUGGCUAUACACUCCUUGAACAUAUUGGACUUGAAAUGGAUCUUCCUGUUAUCAUGAUGUCUGCUGAUGGAAGAUACUCUUCUGUUUUGAGGGGAAUCAGACAUGGGGCUUGUGAUUACUUGAUUAAGCCUAUACGUGAGGAAGAGCUUAAAAAUUUAUGGCAGCAUGUUGUCCGGAAAAAGUGGAAUUAAAAUAAAGACAUUGAACAUUCAGGAGGCAGCUUUGACGAGAAUGAUCGCCAAAAAAGAGCAAGUGAUGAAGUUGAAUACGCAUCUUCUGCUGAUGAAGGAACUGAAGGAAGCUCAGAAGAAGAAGAUGACGGUGAACUAGCUUCCAAAUUGUAAGAGUGAACAAGAAUCUUCCUGUGGUCGUAGUCAUUUUCGACGAAGCACGGAGGGAUGCAGCCAGAGGGAUCGAGGAAGGUCACUUGACCCUCCUGAACUUUAAAAAAAUUCAUGUAAGUACAUUUUC